Molecule: long non-coding RNA, 3512 nt
Organism: Mizuhopecten yessoensis (Yesso scallop)
Lineage: Eukaryota; Metazoa; Mollusca; Bivalvia; Pectinida; Pectinidae
Exons: 2
Source: RefSeq, a predicted model, not a curated record
UAUCUUUACUUCAUACCAAUUAUUUUAAACAUAUUCUGGUAAGCGAUACAGGCCCUCUGGGCCUCUUGUAAGAAAUUGAAUCUUGAGAAUGUAUGUUAGUGAUAUUAAUUGUCUGAAGUAUUUUGUUUAGAAGGCAGAUGUUCUGCCUGGGAAACCUUCUGUCUGGGAGGUGAAAUGGUUGAUGACCGUUGUAUACCUGUUAAUAUUGUUAAAGGGAUCAACAGAUUGUGCUUUCAUUGCUAAUGUUUGUGAUUAUGUGGUGUAACUGUUAUCUAUGUAACUAUUACCUGUGUAACUGUUACCUGUGGUCUGUUCUGUUUGCCUUUUGUCAUUCAGUAAUGAGCUGCUUACUCAGUGUUUACCAAAUAGUGUUUCUUACUGUAUAUCUUUGUGAUUGGUUGUCUAUGCAAAUUAAAUGGAAGAAUAUUUAAUUACCUCCCCUUACAAAAAUGUACUCAUUAGAUAUAUGUAUGUAGCAUGAAAUAUGCACUAAUUUAACAGUUGAUAUUUUUUCAUCAAACCAAUUUUGUGGAAAGGGGAAAAUAUAAUGGCUAAGAUCCAUUUUGAAUAAGUAAUUUUGUAAAAUUUCAUGGCAAUACAAAUAUAAGCACGUCACACGUGUUGCUAGACAAUUCAAUAAUAAUGUUAUAUCAUUUUCAUUUUGUAUUUAAACUUCAAAUUUUACAAAGAUUGAAUAUGUUAUUGUAUCAUUUCUAAAUGAAGAUAUUUAAAAGUUUUUCAGCAAAGGGAAGUUACCUUGGUAUGAGAUUUUCUAUUAUAUAAUGUUAUAAAAGUUUCCCAAUUGUUUGAAUCUGGGAUAUAGCUCAUCCUAGUGAUCUAUUGUCCUGUAACCAGCACUGAAGGAACUCAUUGUAGGGACUAGUUAAGACAAGGAAUACGAUAUAUAUGUUUUCCUAAGUAUAAAACCAAAACCAAAAAUAAAACCAUAUGCUUGCCAAAGAGGAUUUUAUUUGUAUACUGAAGUGUGGCAAGAGUUAGUUUACUAUCAUAAUACUAUUGGUACAUACAUUAUAGAACAUUAAAUGGACUAAUGUCUACAUUUUGACACUUUGUAUUACUAGAUUAGUUAUGAUGAUUUUCAUUUAUUGUAAUAUAAAGUUACAAUACAAAAUACUUAGGAAACUGUGUUGCUGGUUGCAGCAGUGCUUUUCUACCACAGAAAAUAUAAACCAGUUUUACAUCAUAUAUUAUUUGGAGAUUGGCUUAUCAUAGGAUGAAAGAUAUCUGAAAAACAGUAAGAAUGUGUGAGUGUGUUGGAGAUCCUCUCCGGGUAUUUAUGUCUGUAUAAUCUUCCUCAUUUCAUGUCAUCAAGUCGUCGUCAUCAUCCUAGCCUGCCUCACUUCAUGUCAUCAAGUCUGAUAGCCUCCUCUCAGCCUACCUCACUUCAUGUCAUCAAGUCUGUAACCCUCCUCUCAGCCUGCCUCACUUCAUGUCAUCAAGUCUGUAACCCUCCUCUCAGCCUUCUUCACUUCAUGUCAUCAAGUCUGUCAACCUCCUCUCAGCCUGCCUCACUUCAUGUUUUCAAAUCUGUCACCCUCCUCCCAGCCUUCCCCACUUCAUGUCAUCAAGUCUGUAACCCUCCUCUCAGCCUGCCUCACUUCAUGUCAUCAAGUUUGUAACCCUCCUCCCAGCCUGCCUCACUUCAUGUCAUCAAGUCUGUCAACCUCCUCUCAGCCUGCAUCACUUCAUGUUUUCAAAUCUGUCACCCUCCUCCCACCCUUCCUCACUUCAUGUCAUCAAGUCUGUAACCCUCCUCUCAGCCUGCCUCACUUCAUGUCAUCAAGUCUGUAACCCUCCUCUCAGUCUGCCUCACUUCAUGUCACCAUGUAUGUCACCCUCCUCUCAGCCUGCCUCACUACGUGUCAUCAAGUUGAUACCCUCCUCUUAGCCUGCCUCACUUUAUGUCAUCAAGGUUGUCACCCUCCUUUCAGCAUGCCCCACUUCGUGUCAUCAAGUCAUUCAGCCUCCUCUCAGCCUUCUUCACUUCAUGUCACCAAAUAUGUCACCUUCCUCUCAGCCUGCCCCACUUCGUGUCAUCAAGUCAGUCACCCUUCUUUCAGCAUGCCCCACUUAAUGACAUCAAGUCAUUCAGCCUCCUUUCAGCAUGCCCAACUUCAUGUCAUCAAGUAUGUCACCUUCCUCUCAGCCUGCCCCACUUCAUGUCAUCAAGUCAUUCAGCCUCCUCUCAGCCUGCCCCACUUCGUGUCAUCAAGUAUGUCACCCUCCUCUCAGCCUGCCCCACUUCAUGUCAUCAAGUCAGUCAGCCUGCCUCACUUCAUAUCAUUAAGUUAAAUGAAUGAGGUGUGACUUUAUAGAUUGUACAGAAACUUGUUUGACUUUAUACAUCUGACAGUUUCAAAAUAUGUAAGUGCAAAAGUCUUGAUUUGAUCAAACUUGUUGAUGUGUAUUUGUUUUAGUGUUAAGCAAAUCAUGCAUUGUAUAUGUAAACCCUACAUAGUUUAAGUGGAUAAUACAGAGACCCAGUAAUUCAAAGUUCUGUCAUCUUAAAGGUACUUAUGAGUUAGGUGUUCGUUUAUAUUGAAAAUAAAAAUGGAACAUUUUGUUGCAUUUCAGAAAAAUAAAAAGGAAGAAGAAUAGCUUGAAAUACUUUGAACCAACAUGCUAAGUUUACAGAGCUUUGAAUAAGGGGUCAUUAUAUUAUAUGUUGGAGGGUCAUUUAUGAUGUAUAAUUGUAUAUAAUAAGUGUACCCCAUUUUCAUGAUUAAUGAAAGUUGUUAUUGAGAUCAUCAGGUGCCAUAUGGAGAGCCUUGUUUCAAAAUUGCUUGUUAUUUUCACAUUUUAUUUUUCCUAUGUUCGUUUUGCACAGCCCUUUGCAUGACAAAAUAUUUGAAAAAAUAUGUUUGUAGCUUGUAACUCUACCUUGGACCAUCCUUUUGAUUUUCGCCUCGUUCUUCACAUCACAUCUUUUGUCAUUUCUGCCAUUUUAAUAUCUUUUUGCAAAAUGCACUUUAAAAAUAUCUGUAUAUAUAUAUAUAAUCAUAUUUGUGCUUAUUAACAAAAACCAAAGUCAGCAGUUUUGAAACAAGGGUUACCAUGGUAACUAAUGGGAAAUUGUGCCAAGUGUUAUUUUUGGUACUGUAUGAUAGACGUGCAAUACCUUCUAGCUAUAUAGACAUGUCAGUGAUAGGUUCAUCUGUUAGUGGUUCCACGUUCAUAGCUAUAUAGACAUGUCAGUGAUAGGUUCAUUUGUUAGUGGUUCCACGUUCUAGCUAUAUAGACGUGUCAGUGAUAGGUUCAUCUGAUAGUGGUUCCACGUUCAUAGCUAUAUAGACAUGUCAGUGAUAGGUUCAUCUGUUAGUGGUUCCACGUUCAUAGCUAUAUAGACAUGUCAGUGAUAGGUUCAUCUGUUAGUGGUUCCAUGUUCAUAUUUUAAUAGAAUUUAUUUUUGUUGUUGCCAUGACUGCAAAUAUCCAUUUUGUAGAUCGCAUAAUUUUGAAAUAAUUCAGAAUAAAGGUAAUUCUUUGAAAUUG